AGCUAACGCGAUUAAAGUCAGACCGCCUGGGGAGUACGGACCGCAAGGUUAGAAACUCAAAUGAAUUGACGGGGGCCCGCACAAGCGGUGGAGCAUGUGGUUUAAUUCGAUGCAACGCGAAGAACCUUACCUACUCUUGACAUCCAGCGAAUCCUUUAGAGAUAGAGGAGUGCCUUCGGGAACGCUGAGACAGGUGCUGCAUGGCUG
This 207-nucleotide ribosomal RNA is filed under the name Proteus sp. (in: enterobacteria). RNAcentral describes it as "Proteus sp. partial 16S ribosomal RNA". It matches the Rfam family "Bacterial small subunit ribosomal RNA", at positions 850 to 1051 of the family's 1533-position model. Lineage: Bacteria; Pseudomonadati; Pseudomonadota; Gammaproteobacteria; Enterobacterales; Morganellaceae. The record is from RNAcentral.